UACGGAGGAUGCAAGCGUUAUCCGGAAUGAUUGGACGUAAAGCGUCCGCAGGUGGCUAUGUAAGUCUGCUGUUAAAGAGUGAGGCUCAACCUCAUAAGAGCAGUGGAAACUACAUAGCUAGAGUGCGUUCGGGGCAGAGGGAAUUCCUGGUGUAGCGGUGAAAUGCGUAGAUAUCAGGAAGAACACCGGUGGCGAAAGCGCUCUGCUAGGCCGCAACUGACACUGAGGGACGAAAGCGUGGGGAGCGAACAGG
RNAcentral lists this ribosomal RNA (253 nucleotides) under uncultured bacterium. RNAcentral's name for it is "partial 16S ribosomal RNA". It matches the Rfam family "Bacterial small subunit ribosomal RNA", at positions 524 to 776 of the family's 1533-position model. The record is from RNAcentral.